RNAcentral lists this ribosomal RNA (471 nucleotides) under Oryzias latipes (Japanese medaka). RNAcentral's name for it is "partial 16S ribosomal RNA". It matches the Rfam family "Bacterial large subunit ribosomal RNA", at positions 1970 to 2594 of the family's 2925-position model. Lineage: Eukaryota; Metazoa; Chordata; Actinopteri; Beloniformes; Adrianichthyidae. The record is from RNAcentral.
UGCCUUUUAAAUGAGGGCCUGUAUGAAUGGCACAACGAGGGCUUAACUGUCUCCUCCUCCUAGUCAAUGAAAUUGAUCUCUCCGUGCAGAAGCGGAGAUAAGAACAUAAGACGAGAAGACCCUGUGGAGCUUUAGAUCACAAGCAGACCAUGUCAAGGACAAUAAUAAAUGACUCAAACAAAUUGGCUACUGUUUUCGUGUCUUUGGUUGGGGCGACCGCGGGAUAAUAUUAAACUCCCACGAGGAUAGAGAAAACCUAUUCUUAUAACCAAGAGCUUCCUCUCUAAGUAACAGAACAUCUGACCUUUAUGAUCCGGCCUAGCCGAUCUACGGACCGAGUUACCCCAGGGAUAACAGCGCAAUCCUCUUUUAGAGCCCAUAUCGACAAGAGGGUUUACGACCUCGAUGUUGGAUCAGGACAUCCUAAUGGUGUAGCCGCUAUUAAGGGUUUGUUUGUUCAACAAUUAAAGU